AUGAUUAAAGACCUGCAGAAAAAUCUACAAAUAGAGCACAUCUAUUUGUAGAUUUUUCUGCAGGUCUUUAAUGGUUGAUCUUUCAGAAACAGAGUCCAGCUGCUAACAGGUGGAAGUUCAGAGCGGUGAAGCCAGUGACAGAGCCAACACACAGAAUGGUUUGGGCUUCGUGAAAGGAAGAAGUGACACUUGGACAUGCAUGUGCCGUGCGUGUUUGUAUUCAGAACCUGGACUCAGCUCUCCCGCUGCCACCCAGUCUCUACUCACAUCCAGGGACGGUUCUGGAACGUCCGCUGGCCCGCCCAGCCCAAAGGAGCUGUCGCCUUGGAGACGGGAGUUCUGGUUGCUGCGCUGC
Molecule: long non-coding RNA, 355 nt
Organism: Thalassophryne amazonica
Lineage: Eukaryota; Metazoa; Chordata; Actinopteri; Batrachoidiformes; Batrachoididae
Exons: 3
Source: RefSeq, a predicted model, not a curated record